AGAGCGAACGCUGGCGGCAGGCCUAAAACAUGCAAGUCGAACGGACCCUUCGGGGUUAGUGGCGGACGGGUGAGUAACACGUGGGAACGUGCCUUUUGGUUCAGAACAACUCAGGGAAACUUGAGCUAAUACUGAAUAAGCCCUACGGGGGAAAGAUUUAUCGCCAUUAGAGCGGCCCGCGUUGGAUUAGCUAGUUGGUGAGGUAAAGGCUCACCAAGGCUACGAUCCAUAGCUGGUCUGAGAGGAUGAUCAGCCACACUGGGACUGAGACACGGCCCAGACUCCUACGGGAGGCAGCAGUUAGGAAUCUUGCGCAAUGGGCGAAAGCCUGACGCAGCCAUGCCGCGUGAAUGAUGAAGGUCUUAGGAUUGUAAAAUUCUUUCAGCGGGAAGAUAAUGACUGUACCCGCAGAAGAAGCUCCGGCUAACUUCGUGCCAGCACGCCGC
This 446-nucleotide ribosomal RNA is filed under the name uncultured bacterium. Its description in RNAcentral is "SSU rRNA". It matches the Rfam family "Bacterial small subunit ribosomal RNA", at positions 26 to 518 of the family's 1533-position model. The record is from RNAcentral.